Molecule: ribosomal RNA, 77 nt
Filed under: Cristataria colbeauiana
Lineage: Eukaryota; Metazoa; Mollusca; Gastropoda; Stylommatophora; Clausiliidae
Also listed under: 2 other names
Description: partial 28S ribosomal RNA
Rfam family: Eukaryotic large subunit ribosomal RNA
Source: RNAcentral
UCCGACCUCAGAUCGGACGAGAUUACCCGCUGAAUUUAAGCAUAUAACUAAGCGGAGGAAAAGAAACUAACAAGGAU